AAUUAAGUUCUAAUUUAACCUUAAGUGAAAUCCUAAUAAACUUCAAUCAAAUUCUAGACAAAUCCUAAAUCCUAAAUCAAAUCCUAAUUAAAUUCUAAGUCCUAAACCAAAUCCUAACCAAAUCCUAAAUCCUAAAUCAAACUCUAAUUAAUUAUAAAUCCUAACCAAAUCCUAAACCCUAAAUCAAACCCUAAGAUAGUUUAGAACCUCAAUAUCUUUUGAAUAAACUAUUGAUCUUAUUUAUAAUUUUACAUACCUUUCAAUAUUUUAAUUAUAAACAAGUACAACAAAUUUGAGGAUAAUCACACUUAUCAAAUGGAAGAAAAAUCCUAAAAACUACUCAGAUAUUUGCUAAUAUCUUUCUCCAACCUUGAUGUUAAUCUUCUAAUGCUAAUAUCCCUUCUUUGGACCAUUAAAUUGAUCUCAAAUUUCUCAUAUACAUAAGAAAAUAAGUUUACUAUGCAAAUACAUAACUUUAAUUUCAAUCCAACUAGUAGAUUGCAAGAAAUCUUAGAAACUCUCAUUAGACCUAAAAUUCUACUUU
RNAcentral lists this long non-coding RNA (544 nucleotides) under Physcomitrium patens. RNAcentral's name for it is "long non-coding RNA (PPAT_LNC010283)". The record is from RNAcentral. Lineage: Eukaryota; Viridiplantae; Streptophyta; Bryopsida; Funariales; Funariaceae.